This 253-nucleotide ribosomal RNA is filed under the name uncultured bacterium. Its description in RNAcentral is "partial 16S ribosomal RNA". It matches the Rfam family "Bacterial small subunit ribosomal RNA", at positions 524 to 776 of the family's 1533-position model. The record is from RNAcentral.
UACGUAGGGGGCAAGCGUUGUCCGGAAUCAUUGGGCGUAAAGAGCGUGUAGGCGGCCCGGUAAGUCCGCUGUGAAAGUCCAGGGCUCAACCCUGGGAUGCCGGUGGAUACUGUCGGGCUCGAGUCCGGAAGAGGAGUGUGGAAUUCCUGGUGUAGCGGUGAAAUGCGCAGAUAUCAGGAGGAACACCAAUGGCGAAGGCAGCUUGCUGGGACGGUACUGACGCUGAGACGCGAAAGCGUGGGGAGCGAACAGG